Molecule: microRNA precursor, 46 nt
Filed under: Bombyx mori (domestic silkworm)
Lineage: Eukaryota; Metazoa; Arthropoda; Insecta; Lepidoptera; Bombycidae
Description: miRNA-2794
Source: RNAcentral
CCAAGGGACCUCGCUCACGGCGACUUUUCGUAGCGAUGCUGCCGCG